CCUAAGAGAUACGUGUUAUGUGCAGUGCUCACACAGAUUGUCUGAUGAAGAACGAGCAAAAGCGCGUCUGCGAAGCUGACAGAAGUCCCCUUCGUCUAGAGGCCUAGGACACCGCCCUUUCACGGCGGUAACAGGGGUUCGAAUCCCCUAGGGGACGCCAAUGCGCGGUAUGAGUGAAAGGCGUACCACUUAUCUGACGAGAGUCAGAGAAUAACUAAGCUAAUUCAAAUGAGUUAUCUUACUUAUUAUGCUCUUUAACAAUCUGGAACAAGCUGAAAAAUUGAAAACAAAUCAAUAUAUCACCGAGGUAUAUUGAUGAGUCUCUCAAAAUCUCAAACCUUAAAGUUUGUCACGCAAAGUUUAUCUUUGAAAGAGACACUUUCGGGUUGUGA
RNAcentral lists this unclassified non-coding RNA (392 nucleotides) under Proteus mirabilis. RNAcentral describes it as "partial 16S-23S ribosomal RNA intergenic spacer". The stretch from base 85 to 157 matches the Rfam family "tRNA". The record is from RNAcentral. Lineage: Bacteria; Pseudomonadati; Pseudomonadota; Gammaproteobacteria; Enterobacterales; Morganellaceae.